This 467-nucleotide ribosomal RNA is filed under the name uncultured bacterium. RNAcentral describes it as "partial 16S ribosomal RNA". It matches the Rfam family "Bacterial small subunit ribosomal RNA", at positions 28 to 507 of the family's 1533-position model. The record is from RNAcentral.
GACGAACGCUGGCGGCGUGCUUAACACAUGCAAGUCGAACGGAAAGGCCUCUUUCGGGGGGUACUCGAGUGGCGAACGGGUGAGUAACACGUGAGUAACCUGCCCUUGACUUUGGGAUAACUUCAGGAAACUGGGGCUAAUACCGGAUAGGAGCUCCUGCUGCAUGGUGGGGGUUGGAAAGUUUCGGCGGUUGGGGAUGGACUCGCGGCUUAUCAGCUUGUUGGUGGGGUAGUGGCUUACCAAGGCUCUGACGGGUAGCCGGCCUGAGAGGGUGACCGGCCACAUUGGGACUGAGAUACGGCCCAGACUCCUACGGGAGGCAGCAGUGGGGAAUAUUGCACAAUGGGUGGAAGCCUGAUGCAGCAACGCCGUGUGCGGGAUGACGGCCUUCGGGUUGUAAACCGCUUUCGCUCAUGACGAAGCUUUGUGUGACGGUAGUGGGUAAAGAAGCACCGGCUAACUACGUG